GGUGUGAGGAAAGAGGAGAUAAAGGUAGAGAUUGAGGAUUCAAUGUUCCUCAUAAUUAGAACAGAGGCCAUUGCUGAAUUAACUAAAACUGUCGAGAACUUCAUGAGAAAAUUCCGGCUUCCGUGUUUUGGUUGACAUUGAUGGAAGUUCAGCUGGAUAUGAAGAUGGUGUCCUGAUAGUUACUGUACCAAGAUCUUACAAAGGAGAGGACUCCUUAUUGACCCAGCAGCUAUGCCUGAGAGGCUGGAAGUUACUGCUAGAGCUGCUUGAAUUAAUAAUUUUAACAUGAUUUGAUUAGCUGGUUAAACACUAAAUUUGGGUUUUGAUUACUUGUUAUAAUGGGUAAGCUAUAUACAAU
Molecule: unclassified non-coding RNA, 358 nt
Filed under: Hevea brasiliensis (rubber tree)
Lineage: Eukaryota; Viridiplantae; Streptophyta; Magnoliopsida; Malpighiales; Euphorbiaceae
Source: RNAcentral